UGGGAAUAUUGCACAAUGGGCGAAAGCCUGAUGCAGCAACGCCGCGUGAGUGAUGAAGGCCUUCGGGGUUGUAAAGCUCUGUCUUUUGGGACGAUAAUGACGGUACCAAAGGAGGAAGCCACGGCUAACUACGUGCCAGCAGCCGCGGUAAUACGUAGGUGGCAAGCGUUGUCCGGAUUUUACUGGGCGUAAAGGAUGCGUAGGCGGAUUUUUAAGUGAGAUGUGAAAACCCUAAGCUUAACUUGGGGACUGCAUUUCAUACUGGAAAUCUAGAGUGCGGGAGAGGAGAAUGGAAUUCCUAGUGUAGCGGUGAAAUGCGUAGAGAUUAGGAAGAACACCAGUGGCGAAGGCGAUUCUCUGGACCGUAACUGACGCUGAGGCAUGAAAGCGUGGGUAGCAAACAGGAUUAGAUACCCUGGUAGUCCACGCCGUAAACGAUGAGUACUAGGUGUAGGAGGUAUCGACCCCCUUCUGUGCCGCAGUUAACACAAUAAGUACUCCGCCUGGGAAGUACGAUCGCAAGAUUAAAAACUCAAAGGAAUUGACGGGGGUCAUAGCUGUUUUUCCU
Molecule: ribosomal RNA, 568 nt
Filed under: uncultured bacterium
Lineage: Bacteria
Description: partial 16S ribosomal RNA
Rfam family: Bacterial small subunit ribosomal RNA
Source: RNAcentral